This 235-nucleotide ribosomal RNA is filed under the name uncultured bacterium. RNAcentral's name for it is "partial 16S ribosomal RNA". It matches the Rfam family "Bacterial small subunit ribosomal RNA", at positions 15 to 235 of the family's 1533-position model. The record is from RNAcentral.
GAUCCUGGCUCAGGAUGAACGCUGGCGGCGUGCCUAACACAUGCAAGUCGAACGAAGUGCUUUUGAUGAAGCUUCGGCGGAUUUAAAAGUAUCUUAGUGGCGGACGGGUGAGUAACGCGUGGGUAACCUGCCUUAUACAGGGGGAUAACAGUCAGAAAUGACUGCUAAUACCGCAUAAGCGCACAGAGCUGCAUGGCUCAGUGCGAAAAGCCGAGACGGUAUAAGAUGGACCCCG